UAGACAAACUGUCUAUAAAUGGAGGUGAUUCAGUACUAUAGGUACUCUCACUAGAAGUGGCCGUUAGAUAUUCAUCUGUCCACAGUUAGACAAACUGUCUAUAAAUGGAGAUGAUUUAGUACUAUAGGUACUCUCUCUCUUGAAGUGGCCGUUAGAUGUUCAUCUGUUCACAGUUAGACAAACUGUCUAUAAAUGGAGGUGAUUUAGUACUAUAGGUACUCUCACUAGAAGUGGCCGUUAGAUAUUCAUCUGUUCACAGUUAGACAAACUGUCUAUAAAUGGAGGUGAUUUAGUACUAUAGGUACUCUCACUAGAAGUGGCCGUUAGAUAUUCAUCUGUUCACAGUUAGACAAACUGUCUAUAAAUGGAGGUGAUUUAGUACUAUAGGUACUCUCACUAGAAGUGGCCGUUAGAUAUUCAUCUGUUCACAGUUAGACAAACUGUCUAUAAAUGGAGGUGAUUUAGUACUAUAGGUACUCUCACUAGAAGUGGCCGUUAGAUAUUCAUCUGUUCACAGUUAGACAAACAGUCUAUAAAUGGAGAU
Molecule: long non-coding RNA, 544 nt
Organism: Xyrauchen texanus (razorback sucker)
Lineage: Eukaryota; Metazoa; Chordata; Actinopteri; Cypriniformes; Catostomidae
Exons: 3
Source: RefSeq, a predicted model, not a curated record